GGUCAUGAGUGCCAGUGACAAGCCCCGGCUCGCUGGUCGGCAACCCUCCUCCGCGGUGGGGUGCUCCGGGUGACGACCCGGUCGACCCUUCGCCCGCGGUGGCGGUGGUCGGCAAGCGCGGACC
This 124-nucleotide non-coding RNA is filed under the name Humibacillus sp. DSM 29435. RNAcentral describes it as "SAM (S-adenosyl methionine) riboswitch aptamer". It matches the Rfam family "SAM (S-adenosyl methionine) riboswitch aptamer". From Rfam's summary of the family: SAM-IV is a mRNA element that regulates gene expression via direct sensing of S-adenosylmethionine (SAM or AdoMet). SAM-IV riboswitches share conserved nucleotide positions with the previously described SAM-I riboswitches sequence analysis and molecular recognition experiments suggest that SAM-I and SAM-IV riboswitches share similar ligand binding sites, but have different scaffolds. The record is from Rfam by way of RNAcentral. Lineage: Bacteria; Bacillati; Actinomycetota; Actinomycetes; Micrococcales; Intrasporangiaceae. RNAcentral also lists the same sequence under 1 other name.